GUCUGCAAAACUAAAAGGGGGGGUCGCGAGUCUGCAGAAUAGAAAGGCAGAAAUUCUUAUUUUAAAAACUGAAGCCUUUCUCUGUCCAAAAAAAAACUGAUGCCUUUCAGAGUGCUUAUAUAUUGAGUGCUCUGAAAGGUUAGAGGUGCGCUCUUUCUUUGAGCGCUCCCAAAGGUAAUACUAAUUGUUUUUAUUUUUUUUUAAUAUCAUUUCAGAGUGCUCCAGAUUUGAGCGCUCUCAAAUGCAUAAUAUUUAGGAGCGCUCUACCUCAAGCGCUCCUAAUUGUCAGCCUCUAUUUUUUUUAUAUUUUUUAAAUUUUAUUUUGAAGUUCUUUUCUUUUGAGUGCUUCGAAAUGUUAGACUAAUUUUUUUUUUUUUAAAUUUCAAUUCAAUUUUGGAAAACUCAAUGAAAGAGCGCUCUGAAACGUUACACUUUUAGGAAUGCUCUUAGAGGCAUAUAAUAAAUUUUUUUGUUAUUAAUUAUUUUCAAUUGGAAGUACUCUUUUAUAGAUCACUCCUAAACAUAAGACUCUUGAAAAUUUAGGAGCGCUUACUGAAAAAAGCAUUCCGGUAGGUUCCGUCUCUAAUUUUUGUAGUGCUUUUUCCCUAAGCGCUCCGAAAUACGCAGUCUCAAAGUUUUUUGUAUUAGUAAGAGUUUUCUAUUAUGAAAUGUGAUCCUAAAUACUUAAGAAAAGUGUGUAAUAAAUAUCACCUAUCACAUUGCUCCUAGUUUUCAUGCUUCAUAUCUUGAAGUUAUGAUCGAAGUAUUCACAGCUUGCCUAGAAAGAAUUAAAUCAAAGUUCAACAAACUUCUUGAAGGAGCAGAAGGCAAUAAUGAACAGAAGUUAAUUGAAUUUUUCAACAUAAGACCUGGAAUUUUGUGAGUUCUUGAAAGAGCAUGACAAGGAACUUCUACAAUUUGCUGAUGAUGACAAUAUUGAUCUCUUGAUCUCUAAAGAGGAAAGUAAGGAGGCGGAUGAAAACUCAAGAAAGAGAUCAAAUGCAGUGAAAACUUUUUGAGGAGAUGCAACAUUUCAAGUGAGUAGCAGUUGAGGCAAUGGUGCAGGUUGCUAUUUUUCGUUUUGUGUUGGUGUUCAGUAUUUGGUCGGCAACAAUUGUAGCUGACUCUAAUGUGUAUGGUGUGUUCCCAAAUUCAUUGGGCUGUUGUUAAGAAGAGCUGAUCAUUAAGUAAUAUUUUUGUCCUCCCUAAAUUGUGACUAUACUUUGCCCCCACGCAAAUGAGAUGGUCAGUCAUUUUACUUUUAGAUAUUAUCAGUAGCUGUAACUUUUUAUCUCAUUUGUGUGAUUUAUUGUGCUUCUUGAGAGAUUUAUUAUCAUUCCUUGGCCCUAUCAAUUUUGUGCAUAUGAGUUGAAUUUAAGAAUUCUUACUAUAGAAGAAUAAGCCAUGUUUGUUCAGUUAUCAUAUCUUUUGGAUAGAAGUUGAAUUCAUCAACUAAUGAUAUAUAUUGAGUAACUGAACUUAGAAGUUUAAAUGCUUAUUUGGAAUGAGAGAUGAUGCCAUCAACUAAUGUUUCUUGCAGCAUUCUCAAUUGUUAAUAUAUCAAAGGUUUUUGUAUAGCAUCUUUGACAGUAAAUUUGUUGUAAGGAAAAUUUUCCCUCUUGUACACUGUUAGAAAAAAUUAUUUGCACUUUUAUACAGUUCUUGGACUAGCUAUAUUUGAAUUGCAAAUGUUAGACAUUCAAAUAAAGUGGUCGCAAUAAAGUUCCUAGAUCGGUUAAUGGAAGUUGGAGAAUGAUAAUUUCUUGGAUAGAUUUAGUUAGGAAAGACCUAAGAGAGUCAUUCUUAGAGUGAAUAUUGACAUGAUCUGAAUCUUUUUUGGAUGAUAUAAUUCUCUUUGUUCUCCACAACAUUUUCUUGAUUAUCACAUUGGUAGCAUGUAGAUUUGGUGCAUCUCACUCUCUUGCUUGAAUAACUUUGUUUAACUUAAUUUCAGGAGUUGUGAAGCACUCUUAAUUGUAUUGGUAUGAGAGGGUUCCUUCAAAAGUUCUGACUUACCAAGCCACUGAUGAUCCAGUCUAUAGUGGCUACAUAUAUGCUAUUGAAUCUACAAGCUAAGAGGAUACAUUGCUAUCAUCAAUUUCAUUUUUAUACCAAUUUUAUCAAUAAAUAAUUAUAUCAAUUCUUUUUUUGACUCACUAUUGCAUUUUAUUUAACCUAAGUUGUUACAUGUUGAAGAUGGGAUUUGCUAUCUGGGGGCCACCUGAUGGGCAUUACAAGAUGCUUAGAUAUUUGAAGAAUUAUGUGAAAGUUAGUGAAAGAAUCAAAGAGGAAGAAUUAUGCUGUUUGGAGCCACCUCACUGUCAUUACAAUAUACUUAGAUUUUGGAAUAAUUAUGUGAAAGUUAGUAGAAGAAUCAAAGAGGAAGAAUUAUGUGUCUGGGGUUUGCUGUCUUGGAGCCUCCUUACGGUCGUUGCAAGAAUUAUGCUCGUAUAUCCUUUAAAAAGAUGUAGUGACAAAAGAGGAAGAAUCAAGCACCUAUGAAAGGAUCAACCUUCCUACUUCAUGGAGGAUCAACCUUCGUUAUAAAGCCUACAACAUCCCCUCCCCUUGAAUUUUACAUUUUGAUUUAUACAGUAGACUAUAAUUAAAAUAUUUCAAAUUUCCUAUGAACUUUGCUUAUGUGAUGAUUCAAAUGUUAGGGCUUCCGAAGAUGAUAUGGUUACGUGUUUUUUUUUUUUAAA
Molecule: long non-coding RNA, 2702 nt
Organism: Prosopis cineraria
Lineage: Eukaryota; Viridiplantae; Streptophyta; Magnoliopsida; Fabales; Fabaceae
Exons: 3
Source: RefSeq, a predicted model, not a curated record